RNAcentral lists this transfer RNA (60 nucleotides) under Cerambycidae sp. 7 KM-2017. Its description in RNAcentral is "tRNA-Arg". Lineage: Eukaryota; Metazoa; Arthropoda; Insecta; Coleoptera; Cerambycidae. The record is from RNAcentral.
AUAAGAAGCAAAUAAAUUGCAUUUAGUUUCGACCUAAAAUUUAGGUAAAUUUACCCUUAU